RNAcentral lists this unclassified non-coding RNA (338 nucleotides) under soil metagenome. RNAcentral describes it as "partial contains 5.8S ribosomal RNA, internal transcribed spacer 2, and large subunit ribosomal RNA". The stretch from base 1 to 120 matches the Rfam family "5.8S ribosomal RNA", at positions 35 to 154 of the family's 154-position model. The record is from RNAcentral.
GAUGAAGAACGUAGCGAAAUGCGAUAAGUAAUGUGAAUUGCAGAAUUCAGUGAAUCAUCGAAUCUUUGAACGCACAUUGCGCCCGGCAGUACUCUGCCGGGCAUGCCUGUUCGAGCGUCAUUUCAACCCUCAAGCCCUGCUUGGUGUUGGGGCCCCACGGCUGCCGUGGGCCCUGAAAGGAAGUGGCGGGCUCGCUACAACUCCGAGCGUAGUAAUUCAUUAUCUCGCUUAGGGCGUUGGGCGGCGCUCCAGCCGUUAAAGAACCAUCUUUAACUCAAGGUUGACCUCGGAUCAGGUAGGAAUACCCGCUGAACUUAAGCAUAUCAAUAAGAGGAGGA